CGGGCUUGCCUCAGUAACGGCGAGUGAAGCGGCAACAGCUCAAAUUUGAAAUCUGGCCUCUUUGGGGUCCGAGUUGUAAUUUGUAGAGGAUGUUUCGGGUACCGCCUCGGUCUAAAUUUCUUGGAACAGAAUGUCAGAGAGGGUGAGAAUCCCGUCUUGGACCGGCGGUAGGGCCCAUGUGAAACUCCUUCGACGAGUCGAGUUGUUUGGGAAUGCAGCUCAAAAUGGGUGGUAUAUUUCAUCUAAAGCUAAAUAUUGGCCAGAGACCGAUAGCGCACAAGUAGAGUGAUCGAAAGAUGAAAAGAACUUUGAAAAGAGAGUUAAACAGUAUGUGAAAUUGUUGAAAGGGAAGCGCUUGCAACCAGACUUGAGCGCGGCGGUUCCCCCUUCCUUUUGGUUGGGUUACUCCGUCGUGUCCAGGCCAACAUCGGUUCUGGGGGUCGGUUAAAGGCUUGGGGAAUGUACCUACGUCUUCUGGCGUAAACUUAUAGCCCCGAGUGUCAUGCGACCUCCCGGGACCGAGGAACGCGCUUCGGCUCGGAUGUUGGCGUAAUGGUUGUAAGCGGCCCGUCUUGAAACACGGACCAAGGAGUCUAACAUCUAUGCGAGUGUUUGGGUGUCAAA
This 624-nucleotide ribosomal RNA is filed under the name Phaeoannellomyces elegans. RNAcentral's name for it is "eukaryotic LSU rRNA". It matches the Rfam family "Eukaryotic large subunit ribosomal RNA", at positions 70 to 706 of the family's 3401-position model. Lineage: Eukaryota; Fungi; Ascomycota; Eurotiomycetes; Chaetothyriales; Herpotrichiellaceae. The record is from RNAcentral.